UGGGGAAUUUUCCACAAUGGGCGAAAGCCUGAUGGAGCAACGCCGCGUGUGUGAUGAAGGUCUUCGGAUCGUAAAGCACUUUCGACCGGGACGAAAACCUAGUGGCUAACAUCUACUAGACUGACGGUACCGGGAGAAGAAGCACCGGCUAACUCUGUGCCAGCAGCCGCGGUAAUACAGAGGGUGCAAGCGUUGUUCGGAAUUAUUGGGCGUAAAGCGCGUGUAGGCUGCUUGUUAAGUCAGAUGUGAAAUCCCUCGGCUUAACCGAGGAAGUGCGUCUGAAACUGGCGAGCUUGAGUACCGGAGAGGAUGGCGGAAUUCUGCAAGUAGAGGUGAAAUUCGUAGAUAUGCAGAGGAACACCGGUGGCGAAGGCGGCCAUCUGGACGGUAACUGACGCUGAGACGCGAAAGCGUGGGGAGCAAACAGGAUUAGAUACCCACGUAGUCCCUGAGCGGGCUGGCAAGGCGCAU
RNAcentral lists this ribosomal RNA (471 nucleotides) under uncultured bacterium. RNAcentral's name for it is "bacterial SSU rRNA". It matches the Rfam family "Bacterial small subunit ribosomal RNA", at positions 355 to 825 of the family's 1533-position model. The record is from RNAcentral.